GACGAACGCUGGCGGCGUGCCUAAUACAUGCAAGUAGAACGCUGAAGGAGGAGCUUGCUUCUCUGGAUGAGUUGCGAACGGGUGAGUAACGCGUAGGUAACCUGCCUGGUAGCGGGGGAUAACUAUUGGAAACGAUAGCUAAUACCGCAUAACAGUAGAUAUCGCAUGAUAUCUACUUGAAAGGUGCAAUUGCAUCACUACCAGAUGGACCUGCGUUGCAUUAGCUAGUUGGUGAGGUAACGGCUCACUAAGGCGACGAUACAUAGCCGACCUGAGAGGGGGGGCGGCCAGACUGGGACGGUGACACGGCCCAGAGGCAUACGGAAGGCAGCAGUAGGGAAUCGUCGGCAAGGAGCGGAAGUCUGACCGAGCAACGCCGCAUGAGUAAGGAAGGUUGUCGGAUCGUAAAGCUCUGUUGUAAGAGAAGAACGAGUGUGAGAGUGGGAAGUUCACACUGUGACGGUAUCUUAUCAGAAAGCGACGGCUAACUACGUG
Molecule: ribosomal RNA, 495 nt
Filed under: uncultured bacterium
Lineage: Bacteria
Description: partial 16S ribosomal RNA
Rfam family: Bacterial small subunit ribosomal RNA
Source: RNAcentral